RNAcentral lists this transfer RNA (68 nucleotides) under Craugastor augusti (barking frog). RNAcentral's name for it is "tRNA-Glu". It matches the Rfam family "tRNA". From Rfam's summary of the family: Transfer RNA (tRNA) molecules are approximately 80 nucleotides in length. Lineage: Eukaryota; Metazoa; Chordata; Amphibia; Anura; Craugastoridae. The record is from RNAcentral.
GUUCUUGUAGUUGAGUAUAACAGUAGCUUUUCAAGCUUCUAGUCCAGGUUAGAGUCUUGGUAGGAAUA